Molecule: transfer RNA, 72 nt
Filed under: Phrynosoma platyrhinos (Desert horned lizard)
Lineage: Eukaryota; Metazoa; Chordata; Lepidosauria; Squamata; Phrynosomatidae
Description: tRNA-OTHER
Source: RNAcentral
GCCAGUGUGGCCUAGUGGUUUCAGCAUUGGACUAUGGCUCUGCAGACCAGGGUUCAAUUCCCAGCUUGGCCA